CCGACCUGAUCCACUUAUUAAUAUAAUUCAUUUCUUUUAUCCAAAUUAACUUUGUUUUUCCACCUCCACCAAAGGGCAUCACCCUCUACAAGAUUUCCUCCACCACCAGCGCCGAACCACCACCUCUCCAAUCUUUCCUAACAUGAUUUAUGUGGUUAUUUUCUGAUGGAUUCAUAAUAUUUGUUUUCCUCUAUUAUCUGAUUGACAUUCCUUUCCAACAUUGCAAGUAUGCAAUUGUUUGGAACAUGACUCUUGCUAGUGUGGAUCUGAAUAAAUUCUGCUAUGCGGACUUAUAGCAGCUUACAAGAACAAGGAAAUAGCUUCCAAGGUUAAUAUAACAGCGGGUGCUUUGCUCAAGUGGAGAGGUGGCGAAGGAGGUUUUGGAGAAGGUUGUGGGCUUUGGUGGUAGUGGUGAUGGGAAAAAUAAAGUUGAUAAUGGUAAAAGAAAGGAAAUGGGUUAUAUUAUUAAGUUGGUCGGGUAGAGUUAAAAUUGAAUCAUUUAAGUGAAAUUGAAUAAUUUAAAUUGAUUUGGGGCUUUCCAUUCAACGAGGGGUAUAUUUGUUAAGUUUAUUGAUGGCAAGAACAAAAAAUAACUUGUUUUUAAUAGUAGAGGUAAAAUUAACAAAUAAAACAAAAUUAAGGGAUAAUUUUGACCCUUUUGCCUUUAAACAAUCAA
Molecule: non-coding RNA, 676 nt
Organism: Solanum lycopersicum (tomato)
Lineage: Eukaryota; Viridiplantae; Streptophyta; Magnoliopsida; Solanales; Solanaceae
Source: RefSeq, a predicted model, not a curated record